This 1348-nucleotide ribosomal RNA is filed under the name metagenome. RNAcentral describes it as "bacterial LSU rRNA". It matches the Rfam family "Bacterial large subunit ribosomal RNA", at positions 1564 to 2925 of the family's 2925-position model. The record is from RNAcentral.
UGAGUGCGAGCGGCUACGGCCGCGAAGUGGGUGACGUCAAGCUUCCAAGAAAAGCCCUAUACCCGUUAAGGCAUGAUGGCCUGUACCCGAAACCGACACAGGUGGGGUGGUAGAGAAUACCGAGGGGCGCGAGGUAACUCUCUCUAAGGAACUCGGCAAAAUGGCCCCGUAACUUCGGGAGAAGGGGUGCCACCGCAAGGUGGUCGCAGUGAAGAGGCCCAGGCUACUGUUUACCAAAAACACAGGUCUCCGCUAAGUCGCAAGACGAUGUAUGGGGGCUGACGCCUGCCCAGUGCCGGAAGGUUAAGGAAGCUGGUCAGCGCAAGCGAAGCUGGCGACUGAAGCCCCGGUGAACGGCGGCCGUACAAUAACGGUCCUAAGGUAGCGAAAUUCCUUGUCGGGUAAGUUCCGACCCGCACGAAAGGCGUAACGAUCUGGGCGCUGUCUCGGAGAGAGGCUCGGCGAAAUAGAAUUGUCUGUGAAGAUGCGGACUACGUGCACCCGGACAGAAAGACCCUAUGAAGCUUUACUGUAGCUUGGUAUUGUGCCCGGGCUCUGAAUGCGCAGGAUAGGUGGGAGGCUUUGAUCCAUGGCUUGCGGGUCAUGGUGAGCCAACGGUGAGAUACCACUCUUUCAGAGCUAGGGUUCUAACGGUCACCCGUCAUCCGGGGACCGGACAGUAUCAGGUGGGCAGUUUGACUGGGGCGGUCGCCUCCUAAAAGGUAACGGAGGCGCGCAAAGGUUUGCUCAGGCUGGUUGGAAAUCAGCCGACGAGUGCAAAAGCAGAAGCAAGCUUGACUGUGAGACCUACAAGUCGAACAGGGACGAAAGUCGGCUUUAGUGAUCCGACGGUUCUGAGUGGAAGGGCCGUCGCUCAACGGAUAAAAGUUACUCUAAGGAUAACAGGCUGAUCUCCCCCAAGAGUUCACAUCGACGGGGAGGUUUGGCACCUCGAUGUCGGCUCAUCGCAACCUGGGGCUGAAGUCGGUCCCAAGGGUUGGGCUGUUCGCCCAUUAAAGCGGUACGCGAGCUGGGUUCAGAACGUCGUGAGACAGUUCGGUCCAUAUCCGGUGCACGCGCAGGAACAUUGAGAGGAUUUCUCCCUAGUACGAGAGGACCGGGAGGAACGCACCUCUGGUGUGCCAGUUAUCGUGCCAACGGUAAACGCUGGGUAGCCAUGUGCGGAGUGGAUAACCGCUGAAAGCAUCUAAGUGGGAAGCCCACCUCAAGAUGAGUGUUCCCAUGGCAUAAGCCAGUAAGGUCACGGGAAGAACACCCGUUGAUAGGCUCUACGUGGAAGCCGGGUAACCGGUGAAGCGGAGGAGUACUAAUAGACCGAGGGCUUGAU